GAGUCAUGUACAGUAAAUUAGAGAUAGUGAGUGUCCUUUGGUCAGUAAUAAUUGAUGUAUCAUUUAUUGUACAGGAGAAUGGAAUUAAGACAAAAUGCUAAGAAUAUUCAAAGCAUGUCCAAUUUGAAGAAUGCCGUGAACUACUCAUAAUCAAUAAACAGUUUGUUCCAUGGACAUUAACUUAUUACUUAGAGAAAAGGAUGUGUUGAGAUUAAUAUGCACUAAUGCAAUGUGUCACCAUUUUCUUGAUGCAUCAAGCUUAGAGAUACUGAGGUCAUCAAUGAGUCUUGCAUUCAAGCUUGCUGUCCUUCAAAAUUAGGACACUGUACAUAAACUUGCAUUUUUGUUUAGUUUUUAUAAUG
RNAcentral lists this long non-coding RNA (362 nucleotides) under Amphimedon queenslandica. Its description in RNAcentral is "uncharacterized LOC109593593, transcript variant X2". The record is from RNAcentral. Lineage: Eukaryota; Metazoa; Porifera; Demospongiae; Haplosclerida; Niphatidae.